GUGUAGCGUACCUACUAGCCUACGACGGGUACGGGUUGUGAGAGCAAGAGCCCGGAGAUGGAUUCUGAGACACGAAUCCAGGCCCUACGGGGUGCAGCAGGCGCGAAAACUUUACAAUGCUGGCAACAGCGAUAAGGGAACCUCGAGUGCCAGGUUACAAAUCUGGCUGUCGUGAUGCCUAAAAAGCAUUGCAUAGCAAGGGCCGGGCAAGACCGGUGCCAGCCGCCGCGGUAACACCGGCGGCUCGAGUGGUAACCGUUAUUAUUGGGUCUAAAGGGUCUGUAGCCGGCCGGAUAAGUCUCUUGGGAAAUCUGGCAGCUUAACUGUCAGGCUUUCAGGAGAUACUGUCUGGCUCGAGGCCGGGAGAGGUGAGAGGUACUUCAGGGGUAGGGGUGAAAUCUUGUAAUCCUUGAAGGACCACCAGUGGCGAAGGCGUCUCACCAGAACGGACCUGACGGCAAGGGACGAAAGCUAGGGGCACGAACCGGAUUAGAUACCCGGGUAGUCCUAGCCGUAAACGAUACUCGCUAGGUGUCGGCCACGGUGCGACCGUUGUCGGUGCCGUAGGGAAGCCGUGAAGCGAGC
Molecule: ribosomal RNA, 585 nt
Filed under: uncultured archaeon
Lineage: Archaea
Description: bacterial SSU rRNA
Rfam family: Archaeal small subunit ribosomal RNA
Source: RNAcentral